AAAAUGCAAGUGAAAAAUAACUCAAAGAAGAAGAAUAACACGUAGAAACAUACUAACUGACAACAUUUGAGUGAUCAAAAUCGAAAAACAAAUAAUCAAGAAAAACUAAAUCCAUUUCAGAGAUACUAAAUUCAUUUCAGUGAAACAAAUGCAAGUGAAAAACAACUCAUAGAAGACAUUGGUUCUACGUGUUGGAAGCAAAAAUGAUCAAAAUGGAAAAACAAACAUUUCAGUGAUAUAAACCUACCGUUGGAAGAAGAAACAUGAAAAAAAAGAACUAACAUAUCUCAAAUGUGAUGACUUUUGAUAUUCAAGUGU
RNAcentral lists this long non-coding RNA (318 nucleotides) under Lathyrus oleraceus (garden pea). RNAcentral's name for it is "Pisum sativum (pea) long non-coding RNA (PSAT_LNC002472)". Lineage: Eukaryota; Viridiplantae; Streptophyta; Magnoliopsida; Fabales; Fabaceae. The record is from RNAcentral.